GAUGAACGCUGGCGGCGUGCCUAAUACAUGCAAGUCGAGCGAACAGACCAGGAGCUUGCUGCUCUCACGUUAGCGGCGGACGGGUGAGUAACACGUGGAUACCCUACCUUUAAGACUGGGAUAACUUCGGGAAACCGGAGCUAAUACCGGAUAAUCUAUUGAACCGCAUGGGUUAAUAGUGAAAGACGGUUUUGCUGGCACUUCUCGAUGGUUCCGCGCCGCAUUAGCUAGUUGGUAAGGUAACGGCUUACCAAGGCAACGAUGCGUAGCCGACCUGAGAGGGUGAUCGGCCACACUGGAACUGAGACACGGUCCAGACUCCUACGGGAGGCAGCAGUAGGGAAUCUUCCGCAAUGGGCGAAAGCCUGACGGAGCAACGCCGCGUGAGUGAUGAAGGUCUUCGGAUCGUAAAACUCUGUUAUUAGGGAAGAACAAAUGUGUAAGUAACUAUGCACGUCUUGACGGUACCUAAUCAGAAAGCCACGGCUAACUACGUG
This 497-nucleotide ribosomal RNA is filed under the name uncultured bacterium. Its description in RNAcentral is "partial 16S ribosomal RNA". It matches the Rfam family "Bacterial small subunit ribosomal RNA", at positions 28 to 507 of the family's 1533-position model. The record is from RNAcentral.